UUUUUAGACCUUCCUGGAGGAGCUUGCGAUCUAACCGAUAAUCCACGUUACACCUCACCAACCCUUGAAUAUCAGCCUGUAUACCAUCGUCGUCAGUUUACCUCCCAAGAGAAGUACACAAAAAGGGCCUUCCCCUUAACGCCAGAUCGAGGUGCAGCUUAUAGGUUGGGGAUUAGUGAGCUACAAUACUCUAACAACCUUUAACCUUAAAUAAAACUUUAAAUGGGGCCAUGAAAACCCCCCUGAAACAGGAUUCAGAAGUAAUAAUUACCAGAAAAUAAUUAUGAACAUCAAGCUCUAAAAUGCGC
This 308-nucleotide ribosomal RNA is filed under the name Doraster constellatus. RNAcentral describes it as "partial 12S ribosomal RNA". The record is from RNAcentral. Lineage: Eukaryota; Metazoa; Echinodermata; Asteroidea; Forcipulatida; Zoroasteridae.